GAGAGUUGAUCCUGGCUCAGAGUGAACGCUGGCGGUAGGCCUAACACAUGCAAGUCGAACGGCAGCACAGGAGAGCUUGCUCUCUGGGUGGCGAGUGGCGGACGGGUGAGGAAUACAUCGGAAUCUACUCUGUCGUGGGGGAGUAACGUAGGGAAACUUACGCUAAUACCGCAUACGACCUACGGGUGAAAGCAGGGGACCUUCGGGCCUUGCGCGAUUGAAUGAGCCGAUGUCGGAUUAGCUAGUUGGCGGGGUAAAGGCCCACCAAGGCGACGAUCCGUAGCUGGUCUGAGAGGAUGAUCAGCCACACUGGAACUGAGACACGGUCCAGACUCCUACGGGAGGCAGCAGUGGGGAAUAUUGGACAAUGGGCGCAAGCCUGAUCCAGCCAAUACCGCGUGGGUGAAGAAGGCCUUCGGGUUGUAAAGCCCUUUUGUUGGGAAAGAAAUCCAGCUGGCUAAUACCCGGUUGGGAUGACGGUACCCAAAGAAUAAGCACCGGCUAACUUCGUG
RNAcentral lists this ribosomal RNA (512 nucleotides) under uncultured Stenotrophomonas sp. Its description in RNAcentral is "bacterial SSU rRNA". It matches the Rfam family "Bacterial small subunit ribosomal RNA", at positions 7 to 507 of the family's 1533-position model. Lineage: Bacteria; Pseudomonadati; Pseudomonadota; Gammaproteobacteria; Lysobacterales; Lysobacteraceae. The record is from RNAcentral.